Molecule: ribosomal RNA, 440 nt
Filed under: uncultured bacterium
Lineage: Bacteria
Description: partial 16S ribosomal RNA
Rfam family: Bacterial small subunit ribosomal RNA
Source: RNAcentral
CCUACGGGAGGCAGCAGUAGGGAAUAUUGCUCAAUGGGGGAAACCCUGAAGCAGCAACGCCGCGUGGAGGAUGAAGGUUUUCGGAUUGUAAACUCCUUUUGUUAGAGAAGAUAAUGACGGUAUCUAACGAAUAAGCACCGGCUAACUCCGUGCCAGCAGCCGCGGUAAUACGGAGGGUGCAAGCGUUACUCGGAAUCACUGGGCGUAAAGAGCGCGUAGGCGGGAGAGCAAGUCCGAUGUGAAAUCCUAUGGCUUAACCAUAGAACUGCAUUUGAAACUGUUAUUCUAGAGUAUGGGAGAGGUAAGUGGAAUUCUUGGUGUAGGAGUAAAAUCCGUAGAGAUCGAGAGGAAUACUCGUGGCGAAGGCGACCUGCUGGAACAUAACUGACGCUGAUGCGCGAAAGCGUGGGGAGCAAACAGGAUUAGAUACCCGAGUAGUC